This is a long non-coding RNA of Herpailurus yagouaroundi (jaguarundi), 146 nucleotides long. RefSeq lists it as uncharacterized. The record is from RefSeq and is a predicted model, not a curated record. The transcript has 3 exons. NCBI's taxonomy places the organism in Eukaryota, Metazoa, Chordata, Mammalia, Carnivora, Felidae.
UAAGAUUAAUAUACAAAGAAUGCUGAAAAUGCAAUUUCCCCAUACUGUAAGACUUAAGUCUCACAUAAACUUAAUUUGUAUCUGGUUUUGGCAUUUAAAAGCCUAUAUAGGGGCGCCUGGGUGGCGCAGUCGGUUAAGCGUCCGAC